This 426-nucleotide ribosomal RNA is filed under the name Megaselia sp. 44 SH-2017. RNAcentral describes it as "partial 16S ribosomal RNA". Lineage: Eukaryota; Metazoa; Arthropoda; Insecta; Diptera; Phoridae. The record is from RNAcentral.
UUUUAGAAUUUAAUUUAAAGUCUAACCUGCCCACUGAAAAAUUUUAAAUGGCCGCAGUAUCUUAACUGUGCAAAGGUAGCAUAAUCAUUAGUCUUUUAAUUGAAGGCUGGAAUGAAUGGUUGGAUGAAAUAUUAACUGUUUCAUAAAAAUUUAUAAUAGAAUUUUAUUUUUUAGUCAAAAAGCUAAAAUAUUAUUAAAAGACGAGAAGACCCUAUAAAUCUUUAUAUUUAAAUAAUAUUAAUUAUCUAGAUAAAUUAAAUUAUUAUUAUUUUAAAUAUUUUAUUGGGGUGAUAUUAAAAUUUAAUAAACUUUUAAUUUAUUAUAUACAUAAAUUAAUGAAUUAUUGAUCCAUUUAUAAUGAUUAAAAAAUUAAGUUACUUUAGGGAUAACAGCGUAAUUUUUUUAGAGAGUUCAUAUUGAUAAAAA